AGCAGCCGCGGUAAUUCCAGCUCCAAUAGCGUAUAUUAAAGUUGUUGCAGUUAAAAAGCUCGUAGUUGAAUUUCGGGAUCAAUAUGUUGGUCGUGCCUUGGUACGUACUGGCAUUAUCGAUUCCUACCUUCUGAAGAACCUCGAUGUCAUUAAUUUGGUGUCUUGGGGAAUCAGGACUGUUACUUUGAAAAAAUUAGAGUGUUUAAAGCAGGCUCGCGCUUGAAUACAUUAGCAUGGAAUAAUGAAAUAGGACGUUUGAUUCUAUUUUGUUGGUUUCUAGGAUCGACGUAAUGAUUAAUAGGGAUAGUUGGGGGCAUUAGUAUUCAAUUGUCAGAGGUGAAAUUCUUGGAUUUAUUGAAGACUAACUACUGCGAAAGCAUUUGCCAAGGAUGUUUUCAUUAAUCAAGAACGAAAGUUAGGGGAUCGAAGACGAUCAGAUACCGUCGUAGUCUUAACCAUAAACUAUGCCGACUAGGGAUCGGAUGAUGUAAUUUUUAAUGACUCAUUCGGCGCC
This 514-nucleotide ribosomal RNA is filed under the name uncultured Glomus. Its description in RNAcentral is "SSU rRNA". It matches the Rfam family "Eukaryotic small subunit ribosomal RNA", at positions 569 to 1087 of the family's 1831-position model. The record is from RNAcentral. Lineage: Eukaryota; Fungi; Glomeromycota; Glomeromycetes; Glomerales; Glomeraceae.